GCAGAUUACACUGGCCGCAAUGUUUCUCCGAGCUGGAGAAAUGAAAAUGUGGAUACUUCUGUGGAGGCUCUCGGAAGACAGAGGUAAUUUUAUGAGAUACUAAAGAAAUGGCAAGCCUCGAACAAGCGUAUGGCAAAGUGGAAAAGAAUGCAGGCGCAGACGAAUCAGCUGGUAAAACAAGUAGGUCGGUGGGCGGGUCAGUAGGGAGUGGGUGGGCCAGUAGAGGGUGGGCGGGUCAGCAGAUAAAGGUGCCUUUCACUUCCAUCAGUUAUGAGGGAAAGAAGUACAUGUUUGGGAUUGAACACAAUAGCCAGUCCCGUCACAGAUGACAUGAACUCGGGUGUGGGAAUGAAGCACUAUUUUAAGGUCAGACUUCCAGCUCAGGGCCUCUUCACUUCUUUGCCAGGGCCCUUGAAUCCUCUCUGAGCCCUUGACUGUGCUUUUCUAGACCCUAAGGUAACUUCCCCACAGCCAAAACGCAUCUCUACCACCUCACCCACAGACCUCUCUGUAAGACCCGUCACUCACUGCCCGCCUCUCCAAUUCACUCUUCAUCCCGACCCCUCGGUGACCCUGCCCAUCUCCAGACACUGCAUCCUCUGCCCGCCCGCACCCCCUCCCCGACACACACACUCAGACACGCACACGCACACGCACACGCACACACACACACACACACACACACGCACACACACACACGCCACGCUGCUUUCCCCUUCUCAUCUUCCCAGCUCUCCUCCCCCUCCCCGCCACCACCACCCCCGACACCUCCAAAGCCUCCAGCCCAGCGCCUGAGUCUCAACUGCACCCCAUCCGCCACCCAGACUCACCCACAGAGACACCCACUUCUCAACAGGGCGGAAGUGCUCCCGGGCUCUUGCAGGGGAUGCUGGGACGCAGAGUCCUGGCGCCGCCAGCCCGGGAACCCGGUCUUUGAAACCACAACUCCCAAAUGGCAUCGCGCGAGCACCGGUGAGCAACUCCCCUAUCGGCCGCCCCUCAGAUGACGUCAGCCAAUGAGUGCCUCAUCUUCUCCGGAGCUCCGGUACCGGAACAAAUCUAGCAGGGCCAUCUCCUCUGUAAAUUUUAGGUGACAGAACAAAACCUACAUCUCAGGAACAAGAUGAACUCUCAGCUUCUCCUGCACCAUGC
This is a long non-coding RNA of Mastomys coucha (southern multimammate mouse), 1152 nucleotides long. RefSeq lists it as uncharacterized. Lineage: Eukaryota; Metazoa; Chordata; Mammalia; Rodentia; Muridae. The record is from RefSeq and is a predicted model, not a curated record. The transcript has 3 exons.